This 408-nucleotide ribosomal RNA is filed under the name uncultured bacterium. RNAcentral's name for it is "partial 16S ribosomal RNA". It matches the Rfam family "Bacterial small subunit ribosomal RNA", at positions 28 to 526 of the family's 1533-position model. The record is from RNAcentral.
GACGAACGCUGUCGGCGUGCUUAACACAUGCAAGUCGAACGAAGUGGCGAACGGGUGAGUAACGCGUAAUCAACCUGCCCUUCAGAGGGGGACAACAGUUGGAAACGACUGCUAAUACCACAUACUGAAGGAGGGGAUUGCGUCUGAGUAGCUAGUUGGCGGUGUAACGGCCCACCAAGUCGAUUAUCAGUAUCCGGUCUGAGAGGAUGAACGGCCACAUUGGUACUUAGACCAGGCCCAGACUCCUAAGGGAGUCAGCAGUUGGUAAUCUUCCGCAAUGGACGAAAGUCGGACGGAGCAACGCCGCGUGAGUGAUGACGGCCUUCGGGUUGUAAAGCUCUGUUAAUCGGGACGCGGUACCGGAAUAGAAAGCCACGGCUAACUACGUGCCAGCAGCCGCGGUAAUAC